Molecule: ribosomal RNA, 372 nt
Filed under: uncultured organism
Description: bacterial SSU rRNA
Rfam family: Bacterial small subunit ribosomal RNA
Source: RNAcentral
CAGAGGUCCCAAGCGUUGUUCGGAUUCACUGGGCGUAAAGGGUGCGUAGGUGGUGAGGUAAGUCGGAUGUGAAAGCUCCGAGCUCAACUCGGAAAUGGCAUUGGAAACUACCUUGCUCGAGGGUUUGAGGGGGGACUGGAAUACUUGGUGUAGCAGUGAAAUGCGUAAAUAUCAAGUAGAACACCAGUGGCGAAGGCGAGUCCCUGGAAAACUCCUGACACUGAGGCACGAAAGCUAGGGGAGCAAACAGGAUUAGAUACCCUGGUAGUCCUAGCCGUAAACGGUGCGUAUUUGCUGUAAAAGGAAUCGACCCCUUUUGUGGCGUAGCCAACGCGUUAAAUACGCCGCCUGGGAAGUACGGUCGCAAGAUUA